Molecule: ribosomal RNA, 904 nt
Filed under: uncultured bacterium
Lineage: Bacteria
Description: bacterial SSU rRNA
Rfam family: Bacterial small subunit ribosomal RNA
Source: RNAcentral
AGAGUUUGAUCNUGGCUCAGGACGAACGCUGGCGGCGUGCCUAAUACAUGCAAGUCGAGCGAACCAAUAGAAAAGCUUGCUUUUCUUGAGGUUAGCGGCGGACGGGUGAGUAACACGUGGGUAACCUGCCUGUAAGACUGGGAUAACUUACGGAAACGUGAGCUAAUACCGGAUAGUUUCACUUCUCGCAUGAGAAGUGAAGGAAAGAUGGCGUCACGCUAUCACUUACAGAUGGGCCCGCGGCGCAUUAGCUAGUUGGUGGGGUAAUGGCCUACCAAGGCGACGAUGCGUAGCCGACCUGAGAGGGUGAUCGGCCACACUGGGACUGAGACACGGUCCCAACUCCUACGGGAGGCAGCAGUAAGGAAUAUUGCACAAUGGGCGCAAGCCUGAUGCAGCAACGCCGCGUGCCCGAGGACGGCCUUCGGGUUGUAAAGGGCUUUUCUGGCUGACGAGGAAGGACGGUAGGCCAGGAAUAAGCGUCGGCUAACUACGUGCCAGCAGCCGCGGUAAAACGUAGGACGCGAGCGUUAUCCGGAUUUACUGGGCGUAAAGCGCGGGCAGGCGGUGGUCCAAGUCGGACGUGAAAGCUCCCGGCUCAACUGGGAGAGGUCGUUCGAAACUGGGCCGCUAGAGGGCAGUAGAGGGGCGUGGAAUUCCGGGUGGAGUGGUGAAAUGCGUAGAGAUCCGGAGGAACACCAGAGGCGAAGGCGGCGCCCUGGGCUGCACCUGACGCUGAGCCGCGAAAGCUAGGGGAGCGAACGGGAUUAGAAACCCCGGUAGUCCUAGCCGUAAACGAUGUCCACUAGAUGUCUGGGCGGAGCGCCUGGGCGUCGCAGCUAACGCGUUAAGUGGACCGCCUGGGGAGUACGGCCGCAAGGCUAAAACUCAAAGGAAUUGACGG